This is a long non-coding RNA of Pectinophora gossypiella (pink bollworm), 309 nucleotides long. RefSeq lists it as uncharacterized. The record is from RefSeq and is a predicted model, not a curated record. The transcript has 2 exons. Lineage: Eukaryota; Metazoa; Arthropoda; Insecta; Lepidoptera; Gelechiidae.
GAGGCUGCGUCAGGGAUGGCUGCGUUUUUUGACCGUCAGACCCGCUCACGGGGUCAUAUAACUGACAAACUGAUAGCGGCAGUAUUAGAAAACGAAAACCUUUCGGAGAACGAAGAUUUAGAUGAUGAUGACCUCGAUUUAGUACAAAACCAUCUCUUUAGGGAAAUGGAUAACUUAGAUAUAACAGACGAGGACCCUGAAGAGUAAGUGGUAGUAGAACGAUCGCCUGAACCGGAAAAUAUUUCAACAGUAUCUAUCGAAGCCGGGUUCUCCAAUUUUACCAGGGUCAUCAGCUAGACCAACAAGAAA